Molecule: long non-coding RNA, 2020 nt
Filed under: Lactuca sativa (garden lettuce)
Lineage: Eukaryota; Viridiplantae; Streptophyta; Magnoliopsida; Asterales; Asteraceae
Description: long non-coding RNA (LSAT_LNC007221)
Source: RNAcentral
UUGAAUAUGAAUAGACACAAUAUUCUUAUACGUUUAAUCAUAUAGGAAAAUUGGAUAGGAAAAUUGGAUUGAAGAUGUCUAAGAUUAGCCAUACUCAGACAUAACGCCACCACAAGAAUUAGUGUUGAGUUUUCAGAUGACUUUACAAGGAGUAAACAUCUGUAUAUUGAUUUGUUUUUUUUACCUUGGUUUUCUUAUAUUUUAUUAAAACCAUGCUUGCUACAUGGAAUGAUGAGUAUUGUUCGCAUUCAUAGUCAUUUUUUAAAAAUUUUAUUUGAUGCGAUUAAGAAUAUUAUCUGUACUCUACAUUGAUGUUAUGGAUCAACACAUUCUCAUUUUCACCGAAUAAUUUCAUUGUCUAACUUAUUUUAAUUGUUCAUAAAGACUUUAAAGGUGAGAUUAAAACAAAAAUGACUUUAAGAAUGCCUCAGGCAUGUGUAUUACUUAAAACUAUGUUAUGAUAUUGAAUUGUUACAUUUCUCGCUAAAUCAAACUUUGUUUUCAAAAUUUGGGACCAUUAUUUCCGCAAACAUAAACUUUAAACUUUUGAGAUUUAAAACAAAUGAUUAUUAAAAAGUUUUAGUUUUAGUUUUUUAGUUACCAUAGCCAAAGAUGUUUUGGUUACUACACAUAUCCCCACCAUCAAAAGAAUUACCUCCCAAACACUUGACUACCUCAACCAAGAAAAAACUCAAAAGCUUCAAAUAUAGAAACCAAAAUGAUCCUUCAUAUAAGAAAAGUAGGGACUUUAAUUUAUUGCCAUUUAUAUUUGUCUAGAAGAUAUCAUCAAUAUUUUUAACCAUUGACAAAAACAUAUUCACCAUUAACAAUUUUAACAAUCAAACCACCAAUUUGAAACGAUUUUAACAUAACAUAUUCACCAUUUCUCCACUUCCUUUAAAAUCAACCUUUUUUUUUCUCGAACACCUGAGUUUUUAUUAGCUAACAAGUCAACAGAAAAACAAUUACAAAUAUAUUCAUAACUCAUAAGCAAAAAAGUUUGACAAGAUCCUAAAAACGGAUUAAUGUGUAUUUCAUAUAAUCAUUUUCAAGAAAUAGAAUCACGAGUUUACCUUGUGUAGGAAUGAGAUAAUUUGUUUCUAUAAUGAAAUAUAUUUUUCCAAAACUAAAUGGCAACUUAUUGUGAACUUUUCGCAAAGAAAUUUAUGAAAAUGUUUUGGAAAAUUGUAUUAAAAAAAACAGUCAAAAUUUGCAAUUCAAAAACUAGAUACGAUAAUGAAAAACAAAGAUAGAAAAACAUAUGAACCUACACAAGGAAAUCGAGUGAAAAAGCCAGAUAGGCUGAGAACAAAAUAAGGAGGAAAAAAGAGGCUCAGAUCUGUAAACGAUCGAACAAAGAGGAUGAAUCCGCCAUGGCUGCAAACUUACUCGUUGCAAUGUAAAAGACGACAGAUUCUUUCACAUAACCAUCCGAUUUGCCCUGCCAAGAUGCGGAUUAUCUCAACUUUGCUCGAAUCCACUCAGAUACAUAGAAAUUCAUCAUCACAGCCUCAGAUAACGAGUUAAGUUGAAUCAAGAACAUGAGUCGAAAUAUCAAAACUUGGAUGAUACUUUUUGAACGAUUUUGAAACAUAUUACCCUUAUAAGUCAUUUUCCCAGAUCAAAAUUAUGAUAGAAGCGCAAAUUACCAAACCACAGAGACCAUUUUUGCAAUUUACUCUAAUAAAAGCAGCAGCGCAGCAGCAGCACAGCACCAGCAAUGUCGACUAUUUGACUGCGAGCGUGCUUACAGGGGUUGUUGAUUUUUGGGAAAAUCAUCGGCCACGAAGAUGGAGUUUUGAGUAAAUAGAGUCAAAAUCCAACUUCGAAUUGAGCAGAGGAGGGCAACCACCCCUAGAAAAUCCUUUUCGUAAUCCCCUCUGAGUUGGCCUCAUAUCCUUCUGAAUGGAAAUUCGUUUACAGUAGAAAAACCCUAAUUCUUUGGGGUAUAUAGCCCUACUGGUGGCGAUUAUCCCGAGUGCCGCAUAUUAAAAUUAGGUAACUUGUAGUUGUGGUUAGG